UUCAUCUCCGGGGGUAGAGCACUGUUUCGGCUAGGGGGCCAUCCCGGCUUACCAACCCGAUGCAAACUGCGAAUACCGGAGAAUGUUAUCACGGGAGACACACGGCGGGUGCUAACGUCCGUCGUGAAGAGGGAAACAACCCAGACCGCCAGCUAAGGUCCCAAAGUCAUGGUUAAGUGGGAAACGAUGUGGGAAGGCCCAGACAGCCAGGAUGUUGGCUUAGAAGCAGCCAUCAUUUAAAGAAAGCGUAAUAGCUCACUGGUCGAGUCGGCCUGCGCGGAAGAUGUAACGGGGCUAAACCAUGCACCGAAGCUGCGGCAGCGAACGUAUCACCCAAGACAACUUUACGGAGUUGACGAUUGACGGAGCGAAGCGACGUCAAAGCGUUCAUUAAAGUCGAGUUGGCUUAGGGAUACGUUCGUUGGGUAGGGGAGCGUUCUGUAAGCCUGUGAAGGUGUGUCGUGAGGCAUGCUGGAGGUAUCAGAAGUGCGAAUGCUGACAUAAGUAACGAUAAAGCGGGUGAAAAGCCCGCUCGCCGGAAGACCAAGGGUUCCUGUCCAACGUUAAUCGGGGCAGGGUGAGUCGACCCCUAAGGCGAGGCCGAAAGGCGUAGUCGAUGGGAAACGGGUUAAUAUUCCCGUACUUGGUGUUACUGCGAAGGGGGGACGGAGAAGGCUAUGUUGGCCGGGCGACGGUUGUCCCGGUUUAAGCGUGUAGGUGUGUGUUCCAGGUAAAUCCGGUU
RNAcentral lists this ribosomal RNA (742 nucleotides) under Salmonella enterica subsp. enterica serovar Typhimurium. Its description in RNAcentral is "partial 23S ribosomal RNA". It matches the Rfam family "Bacterial large subunit ribosomal RNA", at positions 889 to 1547 of the family's 2925-position model. Lineage: Bacteria; Pseudomonadati; Pseudomonadota; Gammaproteobacteria; Enterobacterales; Enterobacteriaceae. The record is from RNAcentral.